RNAcentral lists this ribosomal RNA (457 nucleotides) under Actinomyces sp. oral taxon 171. RNAcentral's name for it is "bacterial SSU rRNA". It matches the Rfam family "Bacterial small subunit ribosomal RNA", at positions 28 to 461 of the family's 1533-position model. Lineage: Bacteria; Bacillati; Actinomycetota; Actinomycetes; Actinomycetales; Actinomycetaceae. The record is from RNAcentral.
GACGAACGCUGGCGGCGUGCUUAACACAUGCAAGUCGAACGGUGAAGGGGCCUGCUUUUGUGGGUCCUGGAUGAGUGGCGAACGGGUGAGUAACACGUGAGUAACCUGCCCCCUUCUUCUGGAUAACCGCAUGGAAGUGUGGCUAAUACGGGAUAUUCUGUGCCUGCUGCAUGGUGGGUGUGGGAAAGAUUGCGCCCUUUUUGGGUGUUUUUGGUGGGGGAUGGGCUCGCGGCCUAUCAGCUUGUUGGUGGGGUGAUGGCCUACCAAGGCGGUGACGGGUAGCCGGCCUGAGAGGGUGGACGGUCACACUGGGACUGAGACACGGCCCAGACUCCUACGGGAGGCAGCAGUGGGGAAUAUUGCACAAUGGGCGCAAGCCUGAUGCAGCGACGCCGCGUGAGGGAUGGAGGCCUUCGGGUUGUGAACCUCUUUCGCCAGUGAAGCAGGCCUGCUCCUU